Molecule: transfer RNA, 77 nt
Filed under: Candidatus Yonathbacteria bacterium RIFCSPHIGHO2_01_FULL_51_10
Lineage: Bacteria; Candidatus Yonathiibacteriota
Description: tRNA-Met
Rfam family: tRNA
About the family: Transfer RNA (tRNA) molecules are approximately 80 nucleotides in length.
Source: RNAcentral
GCCGGGGUAGCUCAGUUGGUUAGAGCACAUCACUCAUAAAGAUGAGGUCGGCAGUUCGAUCCUGCCCCCCGGCACCA